Molecule: long non-coding RNA, 1280 nt
Organism: Prunus avium (sweet cherry)
Lineage: Eukaryota; Viridiplantae; Streptophyta; Magnoliopsida; Rosales; Rosaceae
Source: RefSeq, a predicted model, not a curated record
AUCCGAUGAGUUUCGACCCUUCGUCCGCCGCCUACCCAAAUUCAAGUUCUGGUUGAUGGAGACUUUGCUGUUGUAUUUUGCAACAUGAAGCUGUUUUUUGAUUUUGCAUCAAUUCAAUGACUCAACAAUGCAAACUGGACAAGUGAGUAGUUUGCAUUGGAUACAAUUGCAUUACGAUUUUGCUGUUGUGUGAGGUUGAGGUCUUUGCAAAGUACAUCAAUUGUCUCGUUCAAGAGAGUUGGAAAGUGGUUUGUACUAAAGAUUUUGGUGAGGAUUUGGUUUAUUACACAAAGCCACUCCCUCUUCUAUGUCCAAAACACUAACCCUUACCAGCAGCGACAUGGCCAUGGCAGAUAAGAUAAUAGACCAAAUCAUCACUGAAAUCUUUAGUACAAAGCACUUUCCAACUCUCCUGAACGAGACAAUUGAUGGACUUUGCAAAGACCUCAACCUCACACAACAGCAAAAUCGUAAUGUCAUUGUAUCCAAUGCAAACUACUCUCUUGUCCAGUUUGCAUUGUUGAGUCAUUGAAUUGAUGUAAUAGGUUUUGCGAGGAAUUGAAGGUAUUUCAAAACCACAGGCCGAUGACAUAGUCACGAGAGCGUAUCAUAAAAACCUAGACGGCUCGCUAUGUUAUUUCACGUUCAAGUAUGUUUUAUAUGUCCACAAAGAAAACGAGAAGCCUAAAACCACUUUUGAGGUGCUCCAAUACCUCCGUUCCCUCGGUGGAUCGGACCUCCGUGAGAAGAGUGAUGUCAUAAACCUCUUCUUAGAUGACUAUUACAAAGCGCCUCCAGAUCUGAGACAUAUGAAGGAGCCACCGUACAACGACUUUUUGUGGAGGCUCCUAACCGGGAUGUUCGGCAAUGACAGAGGCAAGAGGCCUGUGGUGGAGGUUUCUGAUUCUGCUGCCAAGAAGCGCAAAACCAGCGCUGAGAGCAGCAGUGCUUGCUCAUUUGAACAAGUUUGGCAGCUUUUGGUUCUCAACGAGGACAUCAACAAGCAUGUGGGUGUUCUAAUUGAGGAGCCAUUUCCAAUGCUUGCCCUUCAUGACCUUCGCAAUUCAGUUCAAAGUGGAUGAGAGAGAGUCAGUUAGGUUCAUCUCCACACUCUUAUACGUAAACCCACGAGUCUGCAGAGCUAUAAGUUUCUUGCACUUUCUGACAUGUAAAUGAUGUAUUACAAUCUAGCCUCAGGGUUGAGAUUUGUAAAUAUAUAUAGACCAACGAACCUUGUUAGUUUUGCCUUGUCUAUUGGACAGAGGAUUAUGUUUCAUCAA